UACAGAGGGUGCGAGCGUUACUCGGAAUUACUGGGCGUAAAGCGCGCGUAGGCGGCUCUGCAAGUCGGGUGUGAAAUCCCCAGGCUUAACCUGGGAACUGCAUUCGAGACUGCAUUGCUAGAGUAUGGGAGAGGGAAGUGGAAUUUCCGGUGUAGCGGUGAAAUGCGUAGAUAUCGGAAGGAACAUCAGUGGCGAAAGCGACUUCCUGGACCAAUACUGACGCUCAUGUGCGAAAGCGUGGGGAGCAAACAGG
Molecule: ribosomal RNA, 253 nt
Filed under: uncultured bacterium
Lineage: Bacteria
Description: partial 16S ribosomal RNA
Rfam family: Bacterial small subunit ribosomal RNA
Source: RNAcentral